RNAcentral lists this ribosomal RNA (410 nucleotides) under bacterium. Its description in RNAcentral is "partial 16S ribosomal RNA". It matches the Rfam family "Bacterial small subunit ribosomal RNA", at positions 355 to 776 of the family's 1533-position model. The record is from RNAcentral.
UGGGGAAUUUUGCACAAUGGGCGGAAGCCUGAUGCAGCGACGCCGUGUGGGGGAUGAAGGCCUUCGGGUUGUAAACUCCUUUCGUCAGGGACGAAGUUUGUUUGACGGUACCUGGAUAAGAAGCACCGGCUAACUACGUGCCAGCAGCCGCGGUAAUACGUAGGGUGCGAGCGUUGUCCGGAUUUACUGGGCGUAAAGGGCUCAUAGGUGGUGUGUUGCGUCGUCUGUGUAAUCCAGGGGCUUAACUUUUGGUUGGCAGGCGAUACGGGCAUUGCUUGAGUGCUGUAGGGGAGACUGGAAUUCCUGGUGUAGCGGUGAAAUGCGCAGAUAUCAGGAGGAACACCGAUGGCGAAGGCAGGUCUCUGGGCAGUUACUGACGCUGAGGAGCGAGAGCAUGGGUAGCGAACAGG